This 679-nucleotide ribosomal RNA is filed under the name uncultured bacterium. RNAcentral's name for it is "bacterial SSU rRNA". It matches the Rfam family "Bacterial small subunit ribosomal RNA", at positions 1 to 675 of the family's 1533-position model. The record is from RNAcentral.
UAAAGUUUGAUCAUGGCUCAGACUGAAGCGCUAGCGGCAGGCCUAACACAUGCAAGUCGAACGGUGACAGGAAGCAGCUUGCUGCUUCGCUGACGAGUGGCGGACGGGUGAGUAAUGUCUGGGAAACUGCCUGAUGGAGGGGGAUAACUACUGGAAACGGUAGCUAAUACCGCAUAACGUCGCAAGACCAAAGAGGGGGACCUUCGGGCCUCUUGCCAUCGGAUGUGCCCAGAUGGGAUUAGCUAGUAGGUGGGGUAACGGCUCACCUAGGCGACGAUCCCUAGCUGGUCUGAGAGGAUGACCAGCCACACUGGAACUGAGACACGGUCCAGACUCCUACGGGAGGCAGCAGUGGGGAAUAUUGCACAAUGGGCGCAAGCCUGAUGCAGCCAUGCCGCGUGUAUGAAGAAGGCCUUCGGGUUGUAAAGUACUUUCAGCGGGGAGGAAGGCGAUAAGGUUAAUAACCUUGUCGAUCGACGUUACCCGCAGAAGAAGCACCGGCUAACUCCGUGCCAGCAGCCGCGGUAAUACGGAGGGUGCAAGCGUUAAUCGGCAAUUACUGGGCGUAAAGCGCACGCAGGGCGGCUGUCAGUCGGAUGUGAAUCCCCCGGGGCUCAACUGGGGAACUGGUUCCAAAACUGGCAGGCUAANUCUUGUCAGGGGGGNGACAUUCCCCAGG